CACCUCCUGCUAACCCAUAGGAGGCCUAGCCUGCCCGGUGACAAAGUUUAACGGCCUCGGUACCCUAACCGCGCAAAGGUAGCAUAAUCACUUGUCCUUUAAAUAAGGACUAGUAUCAACGGCAUCACGAGGGCUAGACUGUCUCCCCUUUCUAAUCAGUGAAUCUGACUUCUUCGUGAAGAGGCGAAGAUACACAUAUAAGACGAGAAGACCCCAUGGAGCUUAAAACCAAACAACACUCCUUUAUACACAAACCCUAAAAAAUAAAAGAACUGUUGACUAGUUUUUGGCUGGGGCAUCCGAGGAGUACAAUAUAACCUCCCUGACGAAUAUCUUAGAAUUACAACUCCAAGAAACAGUAAACUGACGUAAUGUGACCCGACAAUCGAUCAACGAACCAAGUUACCCUGGGGAUAACAGCGCAAUCCAUUUCAAGAGCCCCUAUCGACAAAUGGGUUUACGACCUCGAUGUUGGAUCAGGGUACCCCAGUGGUGCAGCCGCUACUAAAGGUU
RNAcentral lists this ribosomal RNA (513 nucleotides) under Phrynobatrachus steindachneri (Steindachner's river frog). RNAcentral's name for it is "partial 16S ribosomal RNA". It matches the Rfam family "Bacterial large subunit ribosomal RNA", at positions 1816 to 2573 of the family's 2925-position model. Lineage: Eukaryota; Metazoa; Chordata; Amphibia; Anura; Phrynobatrachidae. The record is from RNAcentral.